This is a long non-coding RNA of Octodon degus (degu), 202 nucleotides long. RefSeq lists it as uncharacterized. The record is from RefSeq and is a predicted model, not a curated record. Lineage: Eukaryota; Metazoa; Chordata; Mammalia; Rodentia; Octodontidae. The transcript is spliced from 3 exons.
UGGAUUCUGGCGCUGCUGCUGGGGGCUGCCUGGAACCAGUGCCAUGUGUCCGCUCCUGCAGGACCAGACCCAAGCAUACGGACCCCACCGGACUGGGAAUCGUUUGCUCCGAGUUCAGAGGACAGCUCCGUCCUUGCCCAGUGUGAUUUUGAGGAUGACACCAAGCCCCUCUGUGACUGGUCCCAAGUGUCGGCAGAUGAUG